This 499-nucleotide ribosomal RNA is filed under the name Gibbaranea occidentalis. RNAcentral's name for it is "partial 12S ribosomal RNA". The record is from RNAcentral. Lineage: Eukaryota; Metazoa; Arthropoda; Arachnida; Araneae; Araneidae.
CAUAUAAACCAGGAUUAGAUACCCUAUUAUACUUUAAUUUCUUUGGUAGUAUUACUAUUUUUAAUAAACCAAUGUAGUUUGGCGGCAUUCAAUCACUUUAGAGGAACCUGUCUAUUAAUCGACUCUCCACGAUAUAUUUCACUUUUAUUUAUAUUUUAUAUACCACCAUCUUUUAGGAUUAAUAUAAAUAUUCUUUCCUUAAUAGAAACUUCUCAUAAGUUAGGUAAAGGUGUAGACUAUAUAAAAGAUAAGAUGGGUUACAUUAAGAAAUACUGAAGGAUAAUCAUUCAAAUAUUUUUGGAAAAAGGAUUUAUUAGUAAUAUUAAAAGAUUAAUUAUAAAUGAAAUUGACAAAUAUGUGCACAUAUCGCCCGUCACUCUCACAUAUAAACCAGGAUUAGAUACCCUAUUAUACAUAUCGCCCGUCACUCUCACAUAUAAACCAGGAUUAGAUACCCUAUUAUACAUAUCGCCCGUCACUCUCACAUAUAAACCAGGAU